GACAAGGUGGCUGAAUGGUCAAGGCAAUGGAUUGCAAAUCCAUCGAUUAUGAGUUCGAAUCUCAUCCUUGUCU
RNAcentral lists this transfer RNA (73 nucleotides) under Allomuricauda sp. RNAcentral describes it as "tRNA-Cys". It matches the Rfam family "tRNA". Rfam says of the family: Transfer RNA (tRNA) molecules are approximately 80 nucleotides in length. Their secondary structure includes four short double-helical elements and three loops (D, anti-codon, and T loops). Lineage: Bacteria; Pseudomonadati; Bacteroidota; Flavobacteriia; Flavobacteriales; Flavobacteriaceae. The record is from RNAcentral.